UCACGUUCGUUGAACGGAGAAAACUCGCACUGGGAGAGACAGACCUCUGCUGCUUGCAGCACUUACAACAAUGGCGACAGGCAACAAUGGAGACAUUCUAAUGCUAGAGGCUGCAUGGGAUUCUUCUAGGCCAUGGUCGAGCUCCACCAUUGCCGAAGUCAUCGAUGCGUUGCCGUACAUCGACGACGACUAUGGGAACCCAUCCGUUAAGGCCGAGGUCGACCGUUUGGUUGGGGAGGAGAUGCGCAGGAGCUCCAAGAAGCCCGCAGACUUCCUUAGGGACCUGCCUCCCCUCCCCAAGUUGAACUUCGAGGAUCACCCGAUGCUUGCUAGAGAGUAUGACCGAGUAAGAGCUGGGAGGCCUCCAGUUAUUAUUGAUAACUCACAAGCUAAACCAGAAAUUCCACCAGGGAAUAAAAUGAAUGACGAAAGUGCAUGGAAGCAAGCACUUCAGAAAGCUCAAUACUUGUCACAGCAUCAAAUGAUCAGGGUGGAAAACCUGGAGCUAAUGUCAAAAUGUGGCCCUGAAGUGUGGAUACAGCACAAUAAACGAUUGGAAGCAUUCUUAUCCAGAAUGCAAAAAUUAGCUCAGGAGCAAAAUGAGAAGAUUGAAGCUGUCAACCGUGAAAGAAAAUACCAUCAGCAACAAACCGCGUAUGAGCUCAACGCUUUGUCAGCACAAUGGAAGGAGCUCUGUCUGAAAAAUAUUGAUAUCCAAGCGGGAUGUACUGAACUUGAAAAUCGUGUUGAGAAACUUAAGACAGAAGCUGCAGAGAGAGGUUGGAACUUGGAUUCUAAUCUAGAGAAUGGCACUCAAUUACACGCAUGACAAUGAGUGAAUGGCUUCUAUGUUCGGCUUACGAAAUGACUUCAACAAAAUGUUCGCAGUUUUCAUUUGAUUUUGCUUGAAAUGCUUCUGGAAAUUAUAGUGCUAAGAUGGAAGAUGCAUCAAUACAGGCAUUGUUGCAUUUCUGAUGAGGUCAACUAUACUCUCUGUGACGAGGUUUUCCCAUGUAAUUGAUUUGCACCUGUUGGUGUUUUUUACUCUUUAUGUACUUCUAAUGACUGCAAAAUUCUAGCAGUGUACUAUAUUUUUGCCUCC
Tripterygium wilfordii is the source of this 1102-nucleotide RNA transcript. It is a transcript of the gene named pre-mRNA-splicing factor SPF27 homolog, with no coding region annotated. The transcript is spliced from 8 exons. Lineage: Eukaryota; Viridiplantae; Streptophyta; Magnoliopsida; Celastrales; Celastraceae. The record is from RefSeq and is a predicted model, not a curated record.